GUUCCGCUUAACGCGGAUGAAAAGAGAAACCGGUGUGAAUCCGGUACGAUCCCGUCACUGUAAUAGGGAGCGGGCGGCAUAAUGUCACUGAGUAAACCUUGGGAAGGCGCCGCACGCUGUGAACUUAAGUCAGGAGAACUGCUUGUCU
This 148-nucleotide non-coding RNA is filed under the name bovine gut metagenome. The record is from RNAcentral.